GCCUCCGUAGUCUAGUUAAGACACCUUGUUGUUAUGUGGUCGGUCUAUCAUUCGUUGCAUUGCAGGGAGUUGAGGGUUCGAAUCCCUCCGGAGGCA
Molecule: non-coding RNA, 96 nt
Organism: Mycena leptocephala
Lineage: Eukaryota; Fungi; Basidiomycota; Agaricomycetes; Agaricales; Mycenaceae
Source: the annotation of a GenBank genome assembly